CCUUGGUUAGCUCAGUUGGUAGAGCGCUACACCUGUAAUGGAGAGGUCCCGGGUUCGAUACCCGGACCAGGCG
Ixodes scapularis (black-legged tick) is the source of this 73-nucleotide non-coding RNA. Lineage: Eukaryota; Metazoa; Arthropoda; Arachnida; Ixodida; Ixodidae. The record is from Rfam.